CUUAAGUCGAGGCCGAAAGGCGUAGAUGAUGGGAAGCAGGUUAAUAUUCCUGCACCAUGAAGGCUGGCGUUGAAGUGAGCAGGGACGGAGAAGGAUAUGCCGGACCACCCGUUUGGUCGUGGUGGUUCAAGCGCGUAGGCGGAUCCCGUUGGAGGCGACAGCCACAAACGCGGGGUCAACGCCGAGACGUGAUGAGGUGAGUCUUCGGACUCGGAACCCGGUGAUUCCAUGCUUCCAAGAAAAGCUGCGCACAGAGCCACUUUCGUGACCGUACCGCAAACCGACUCAGGUGGGCGGGGUGAGUAUCCCAAGGCGCGUGAGAGAACGCUGGCUAAGGAACUCGGCAAAAUAGCACCGUAACUUCGGGAGAAGGUGUGCCCGCCGACGUGAUGGAACUUGCUUCCUGAGCGUUGGCGGGUCGCAGUGAAAUGGGGGUUGCGACUGUUUACUAAAAACACAGGACUGUGCGAACUCGUAAGAGGACGUAUACGGUCUGACGCCUGCCCGGUGCUGGAAGGUUAAGGGGAGAGGUUAGCGCAAGCGAAGCUUCGAACCGAAGCCCCAGUAAACGGCGGCCGUAACGAUAACGGUCCUAAGGUAGCAAAAUUCCUUGUCGGGUAAGUUCCGACCUGCACGAGGGCGUAACGACAUCCCUACUGUCUCGGCCAGCGACUCAGCGAAAUUGUAUCGGGGGUGAAGAUACCCUCUACCCGCGGCAAGACGGAAAGACCCCAUGAACCUUUACUGCAACUUGGCAGUGAGGUUCGGAACAGUCUGCGUAGGAUAGGUAGGAGGCUUUGAAGUCGGGAUUCCGGUCUCGAUGGAGCCGUCGUUGAAAUACUACCCUGGCUUUUCUGGACUUCUAACCUAGGCCCCUCAACGGGGUCGGGGACACUGCCUGGUGGGCAGUUUGACUGGGGCGGUCGCCUCCCAAACAGUAACGGAGGCGCGCGAAGGUACCCUCAGGCUGAUUGGAAACCAGCCGGCGAGUGCAAUGGCACAAGGGUGCUUAACUGUGAGAGGGACACCUCGAGCAGGUGCGAAAGCAGGCCAUAGUGAUCCGGUGGUCCCGCAUGGAAGGGCCAUCGCUCAUCGGACAAAAGGUACUCUGGGGAUAACAGGCUGAUCGCGCCUGAGAGUCCAUAUCGGCGGCGCGGUUUGGCACCUUGAUGUCGGCUCAUCGCAUCCUGGGGCUGGAGCAGGUCCCAAGGGUUUGGCUGUUCGCCAAUUAAAGCGGUACACGAGCUGGGUUUAGAACGUCGUGAGACAGUUCGGUCCCUAUCUGCCGUGGGCGCAGGAUACUUGAGAGGAGCUGUUCAUAGUACC
This 1326-nucleotide ribosomal RNA is filed under the name metagenome. RNAcentral describes it as "bacterial LSU rRNA". It matches the Rfam family "Bacterial large subunit ribosomal RNA", at positions 1390 to 2685 of the family's 2925-position model. The record is from RNAcentral.